AGAUUGAACGCUGGCGGCAUGCCUUACACAUGCAAGUCGAACGGCAGCACGGGAGCAAUCCUGGUGGCGAGUGGCGAACGGGUGAGUAAUACAUCGGAACGUGCCCAAUCGUGGGGGAUAACGCAGCGAAAGCUGUGCUAAUACCGCAUAAGAUCUACGGAUGAAAGCAGGGGAUCGCAAGACCUUGCGCGAAUGGAGCGGCCGAUGGCAGAUUAGGUAGUUGGUGAGGUAAAGGCUCACCAAGCCUUCGAUCUGUAGCUGGUCUGAGAGGACGACCAGCCACACUGGGACUGAGACACGGCCCAGACUCCUACGGGAGGCAGCAGUGGGGAAUUUUGGACAAGUGGCGCGAAGCCUGGACUACCAGCAAGUGACCGCGUGCGAGGAAGAACGG
This 394-nucleotide ribosomal RNA is filed under the name uncultured soil bacterium. Its description in RNAcentral is "bacterial SSU rRNA". It matches the Rfam family "Bacterial small subunit ribosomal RNA", at positions 26 to 415 of the family's 1533-position model. The record is from RNAcentral.